UUUUAGAAAAGGCAAACCUUUUGAAAGGGAGGGACGUAAAACCAGUGGUCUAAGGGGUUAAUGACGCCUAAGAUAGCACGGUUGCCUCU
Molecule: non-coding RNA, 89 nt
Filed under: Piscibacillus halophilus
Lineage: Bacteria; Bacillati; Bacillota; Bacilli; Caryophanales; Bacillaceae
Description: Piscibacillus sp. HS224 c-di-GMP-I riboswitch aptamer
Rfam family: c-di-GMP-I riboswitch aptamer
About the family: GEMM was predicted in a large-scale screen for bacterial structured RNA regulatory elements. Genes associated with GEMM are involved in a diverse array of functions, including chemotaxis regulation, signal transduction, secretion and chitin.
Source: Rfam by way of RNAcentral